The sequence is a regulatory RNA element, 93 nucleotides long. It matches the Rfam family "Rhodo-rpoB RNA". The record is from Rfam.
AAGUCGGGAGGCAGCCGGUGGGACGGCAGCCACGAAUAGACUUGAAACCCCCGGUCAAAUGGAUGUGGCGGCGCAGCCCGGGCGCCGCACGUU